CCCUUAGAUGUUCUGGGCCGCGCGCGCGCUACACUGAUGAAUUCAACGAGCACUAACCUGUGCAGAAAUGUUCGGGUAAUCUUGUGAAAUUUCAUCGUGAUGGGGAUUGAUUAUUGCAAUUAUUAAUCAUAAACGAGGAAUGCCUAGUAAGCGUGAGUCAUCAGCUCACGUUGAUUACGUCCCUGCCCUUUGUACACACCGCCCGUCGCUCCUACCGAUUGAAUGUGCUGGUGAAAAGUUCGGAUUGGGAAUAGGAGACGGCAACGUAUCCUGUUUCUGAGAAAAUCUUUAAACCCUCCCAUUUAGAGGAAGGAGAAGUCGUAACA
This 326-nucleotide ribosomal RNA is filed under the name uncultured eukaryote. RNAcentral's name for it is "partial 18S ribosomal RNA". It matches the Rfam family "Eukaryotic small subunit ribosomal RNA", at positions 1470 to 1796 of the family's 1831-position model. The record is from RNAcentral.